Molecule: ribosomal RNA, 253 nt
Filed under: uncultured bacterium
Lineage: Bacteria
Description: partial 16S ribosomal RNA
Rfam family: Bacterial small subunit ribosomal RNA
Source: RNAcentral
UACGGAGGGAGCUAGCGUUGUUCGGAAUUACUGGGCGUAAAGCGCGCGUAGGCGGCUUUGUAAGUUAGAGGUGAAAGCCCGGAGCUCAACUCCGGAACUGCCUUUAAAACUGCAUCGCUUGAAUCCAGGAGAGGUGAGUGGAAUUCCGAGUGUAGAGGUGAAAUUCGUAGAUAUUCGGAAGAACACCAGUGGCGAAGGCGGCUCACUGGUCCGGUACUGACGCUGAGGUGCGAAAGCGCGGGGAGCGAACGGG